This 84-nucleotide transfer RNA is filed under the name Methylobacterium radiotolerans. Its description in RNAcentral is "tRNA-Gly". Lineage: Bacteria; Pseudomonadati; Pseudomonadota; Alphaproteobacteria; Hyphomicrobiales; Methylobacteriaceae. The record is from RNAcentral.
CUCUGCUGCCGAGCGGUCGUUGCUGCCGCUGCCGGCCGCACGGCGGCGGGCGCCGCUCGGCCCGUUCGAAACGGGUGGCGAGGG